RNAcentral lists this long non-coding RNA (3740 nucleotides) under Marmota monax (woodchuck). The record is from RNAcentral. Lineage: Eukaryota; Metazoa; Chordata; Mammalia; Rodentia; Sciuridae.
GCCCGGGUCUCGGGGAGAGGGAGGGGGCUGGUUAUCUUUAGUUCGCAUCCAGAGUAAACGUUUCCCAGUGAUUUCUAGGUGACAGAUGACGCCUCCAGGGUCAGUUACCUCUCGGACUGACUGAGAGGCGCCAGGACAGCCCUCUAGGCUUCCCAGGGCCGAGUUAGGCCCGGGUCACGGGGUAAAAGCGAAGACCCUGUAGCCUGUGCAGUGCUUUCUGCAAAGCACACGUAGGAAUUUAGACUUUCUCAGCAGUAAUUACACCAUAACGCCCAGGUGCCCCCGGGUGCACUCAGAGAAUUAAUGGGCCUACCAGUCUCAUUUACUUCUUAGGGUCCCUGGGUCCCCUUCCACAAAUGAGCCUUCUCAGUGCACGAACGAGGCCCUGGAGGAUGAGAAGAGUGAUUGCUGCUCUCAAAGGUGAGGCCAAGAUGAAUGCCAGCCCCUGGAGGCCAGCCCCGACCCCCCCGACAGGGAGAUGCUCCGCAGUGACCGCGGCAGAAGGCGCUCGCACACUGAGCACAUGAUUCCAAGCAAAUGAGCGAACCCAGCGAUUAUUUCCACCCAGAAGUUGGUAAUGAACAGGCCCGUUAUUUAUUCAUUCAUUAAAUGAAGGCAAACAAGCCACCAAAGAGGAAGCCGUCUGGCCACGCUUUUAAUGAAUCUGCCCCAUUUCUGAGUGAAAUGUGGGCCAUGCAGAUGAGACGCCCAACUCGAGAAAUAUAUGACCCACUCAGGCUGCCACCCGCCCCGGCUUAAUUACAGAGAAUCAACAGCCCUGGCUUGCAGAGGACCAUGAUGGAAAUCAAACAGAGAAACUGAAAUACAGACUCCCAGGCAGGUGGCCUGACCUCGGAAAGCCCAGGGACCCCAUGGGUCUGUCUGCAGGACUGUGCCCGGGGCGUUCCAGAAAUCAGUGACACCAGAGGUGGCUGAGCUAGGUGAGGGAACAGAUGUACUUGAGGGACAUCAAACCCUUCUGAUGACCCUUGGGUGAUUCCUGAAUGCAUUACAGCUUUCAUUUAUCCAUGGGUUCGUCCACUCGGAGCAUUUAUUGAGUGCCUCCUGUAUCCCAGGUACUGUAUCAGAGGUCUGAAAAUACUAAGCAAAACUAGAUAUCAUUUCCCUUCUCUCACUCCUUUUUCCUAUAAUUUUUUAGUUAUAGAUGGACACAGCAUCUUUAUUUAUUUUUAUGUGGUGCUGAGGAUCGAACCCGGUGCCUCGCACAUGCUAGGAGAACGCUCUACCACUGAGCCCCAGCCCCAGCCCCCAUUCAUCACUCUUAAGUUGUAGUAGAGGAGAUGAUUAUGAAGCAGAUAGACACGCACGCACGCACACGCACACACGCACGCACACGCACACACACGCACGCACACACACGCACGCGCACGCACACGCACACACGCACGCACACACACACACAUGCACACGCACACACACACGCACACACUCGUAAUUAUAAAUCGGGAUGAGAACUCAGAGGAGGAGUUAGAAAGUGUCUUGCAAUCAAGUGACAAGGAGCCUUGGACUUGUUGGGGAAUCGAGGCAGGUGCCCUGGGAGGCCAGGUCUUGACUGGAUGAGGACAGGAGGAGGGGCAGAGGCAGGAGAAACCACGCGGGCGGCAGCACCUGAGUCCGAGAUGAGCCAAGCUCUGCAGCCAGAGAGGAGGCCCGGGCUGGUGUCCACGGGACCCUCAGAGGGCACUGAGUGGGACCGGUACAGGACUCCUAAAGGAAACCCUGUGGGCAGAUAACCAUCAUGAGAGCAGAAGGCUGGGGUGAGCCCACGGGUGUGGACAUCAGAGAGACCCUCGCUUUCUUCCAUGAGCUUCUGAAAAGGGGGGCUGAGCUUGAGUCGGCCCCCUGGAUGCUCUAGGAACAGGAUCCCUGGAUUUACUUAACCCUUCCUGACUUGAGGGGCUGCGCACACCAUGGCUGCACCCAGUGUCUUUAAGACCACUCAGUUCCCAGAAGAGUUCCCCCACCUCUCCCUGCUGUGAGACCACCAACCCCCAGGGCAGGGACCCCGGAGGCUUGGUCCUACCACUGGUGUGACCUUGCACAGGUCACUGAAUCUCACUGCAUCUCAAUCUCCUUGUGUGGCUGUAGUGCCUGCGUUAGAGCGUAGGGCUACCGUCAAGAGGGGAGGUGUGGAAGGUCUGUCCCACAGCAGGAGAGACAUAAAUACUUAAUACUACCUAGGGAGCUCCUCUCUUUCCCAUUUCAGGCUAAGGGACAAGAAAGAAAGAUUAGCAUUAAAGUGCCUGGGCGGGCAUGUGUGUGCUCCGUGUUGUUAGGCACACUUGAGACGUGCUCCUGAGACAGGAAUUGUAUUAGUCUCUUUUGUGUUGCUUUAACAAAAUACCUGAGGCUGGGUGCUUUAUAAAGUAAAGAGGUUUAUUUUACUUAUGACUGUGGUGGCUGGAGGGUCCAAAUAGCAUGGUGCCAUCAUCCUGGCAAGGAACCCCCAUUACCUACAGUGGAGAAUGGAAGGAGAGCUGACUGUGGGCAGAAGGGCUCAGGAAAAAUAAGACAAAUCUCAAAAGGUGGAAUACUGUACAAUUCAUUUAUAGGGCAUUCUUGAAAUAGCAAAAAUAUAGAGAUAGGGAAUAGUUUAGAGGUUACCAGGCAUUAUUAAGCAGAGCAAAGAGAGUUUGCAGUGUGUAUAAGAGGUGGAGAUAUCACUCACACACACACACACACACACACACACAAAUACACACACACACACACACACACCAUCUCACUGCACUACCAGAAUGGCUAAAAUUUAAAAGUCUGACAACAUUAAGUGUUGGCAAGGAUGUGGAGCUUGCAGGACUCUCCACUGUUGCUGGGAGUGUUCAUGGGUACAAACACUUUGGAAAGAUGUUUGAUACUUAGUUUCUACCAAGGCUGGAAAUAUACUCACCUUAUGAUCCAGCAUUUCCACUCCCAGGGUUAUAAUCCAACAGGAAAACACACACGACCACCACAAGAUGCGCAUAAGAUUCUCUACAGCCGUACAUUUUAUAUAAGCUCCAAACUUGAAACUGCCAGCUGCCCACUGGUGGUAGAAUAAAUCAGUUAUGGUACCUUCCCCGUCCCCUUGUCUUGGGAGUUUGAGCUGCUGUAACAAAACACCAGAGGCUGGAGGCUCAAUAACAACAUUAAUGUCCCACGGUUCUGGAGGCUGAAAGUCCAAAACCAAGGUGCCGGUGGAUUUGGUAUCUGGUAAGGGCUGGACUCCUGUUUGCAGACAACUGUCUUCCCAUUAGAUCCAAUGGCUUUUUCUUGGUGCCUGCGUUAGAAGAAGGAGGGAAGCCGAGAGGGAAAGAGACCUUUGCUUCUUCCUCUUUUCAGGAAGGCUUUAGCCCACAGCCCGUGGGAAGGCCACCCCCAUGACUUCAUCAAACCCUAAGCACUUGCCAAAGAUCCCACCUCCAGGCGCCAUCCCGUUGAGGAUCAGGGAUUCAACACACGAACGUGGGGGAAACAAGCAUUUGGUCCAUGACAGCCACCAUAGAACACACACACACAGCCAUGAGAACAAAGGGGAGCACUGUGCACCCCAGGAUGGAUUUUGGCAUCCUCAGCUGACCAGAAGGAAGCAGGCACAAAGACAGACCGCGGCAAGGCUCAGAGCAGACCUGGUCCAGGCUCUCAGAAGUCAGCACAGAGGCCCACACUGGGGGAGGAGGACCCACCGGGAAGGGCACGAGGGGGGCUUGUGGGGUUUCUGCCUUGCUCUGUGUCCCGAC